RNAcentral lists this ribosomal RNA (371 nucleotides) under Staphylococcus aureus. RNAcentral's name for it is "bacterial SSU rRNA". It matches the Rfam family "Bacterial small subunit ribosomal RNA", at positions 507 to 876 of the family's 1533-position model. The record is from RNAcentral. Lineage: Bacteria; Bacillati; Bacillota; Bacilli; Caryophanales; Staphylococcaceae.
GCCAGCAGCCGCGGUAAUACGUAGGUGGCAAGCGUUAUCCGGAAUUAUUGGGCGUAAAGCGCGCGUAGGCGGUUUUUUAAGUCUGAUGUGAAAGCCCACGGCUCAACCGUGGAGGGUCAUUGGAAACUGGAAAACUUGAGUGCAGAAGAGGAAAGUGGAAUUCCUUGUGUAGCGGUGAAAUGCGCAGAGAUAUGGAGGAGCACCAGUGGCGAAGGCGACUCUCUGGUCUGUAACUGACGCUGAUGUGCGAAAGCGUGGGGAUCAAACAGGAGUAGAUACCCUGGUAGUCCACGCCGUAAACGAUGAGUGCUAAGUGUUAGGGGGUUUCCGCCCCUUAGUGCUGCAGCUAACGCAUUAAGCACUCCGCCUGG